This is a long non-coding RNA of Physella acuta, 979 nucleotides long. RefSeq lists it as uncharacterized. NCBI's taxonomy places the organism in Eukaryota, Metazoa, Mollusca, Gastropoda, Physidae. The record is from RefSeq and is a predicted model, not a curated record.
ACUGUAAAUUGACAUUUUCAUACAUAUUUGUGCAUUUGAAGAAGGUGUGUGUGCCUGGAAAAAUAUAAAUUUACGGAAAAAUGGCCUCCAUAAACAUGCCUGUCGAUUCUUAACUAAGCGACCUAGCAUAGCAAGCCGUAUAUCAGAAUGACCGGCUUGCAAUUCCUCAUUUAAAUAACCUAAAUACAUUGACCUAGUUUUAAAUACUAAAAUAGAAAUCGCGAGGUGAAUGCAUGAUGGAAAUAAGAAAAGCUGUAUUCCCAUUGGUUACCAGGCGAAGCCAUGUUGUAAGUUACUAAAAUUAGCUCAUGUCAAGGCGACAUAUGACCGAAAUGUAAGCCGUUGCCGAGAUACGGGCUAUUAUUUUGCUCAGCGCAUGACUUCCUUUACUCGACAUCUGCGAACCUGUGUGCUUCUUUUUUAUCAAAUAAGUGCAUAUUUUUUGUUUGUUGGCUUCUUUUUACGUCAAUGCCUGCAGUCUCAAAGCUAGUGCUGCCAAGCUUGCUAGGGUUGAUGCACAUCACUUGGGACUGCACAGAUGCACUAGAUGCACCUACAGUACCUGCAUCUCAGUGCACAUGCAUCGGUUGCAGCUACACUACUUCCACCAACCAUCGCAAAGAAAAUUUAGUGCUUCUGCAGUCUAAUCGCCGUAAUGCACUGAGUGGAUAGAUUGGAAGUCUUACGCAGCAGCUGAAAAAAUCUCCAGACCUACUUCAAGAAGGCAGUUUCAAGUAAGACUGGCAGUACAGGGAACUGAGGUGGAAAGUUGGAGCUCCUUCUAAUCAUGUCCCUUUGACAGAUGAAAGGACACACACCAGGAUUGACAGACAGGGAAAACCUCCUGGUGCUUCUGGCAAAUGUGUCAUGGUACAUAAUUCAACACCGCUAUCUCACAAAGGUUCAUCAUUCAUCUUAGAACAUGUUGCCAAAGCUGUCCAAAAUGUUUAUUAGCAACUGACGACAAAUGCCAUAUUGA